UACGUAGGUCCCAAGCGUUAUCCGGAUUUACUGGGCGUAAAGUGUCCGUAGCCGGAUAUAUAAGUCUGUUUUCAAAUGCCACGACUCAAUCGUGGAAAGGGAAUAGAUACUAUAUAUCUAGAGAAUAUUGGAGGUUAGUGGAAUUUCCGGUGGAGCGGUGAAAUGCGUUGAUAUCGGAAAGAACGCCGAAAGCGAAAGCAGCUAACUAUGAUAUUUCUGACGGUGAUGGACGAAAGCUUGAGGAGCAAACGGG
RNAcentral lists this ribosomal RNA (253 nucleotides) under uncultured bacterium. RNAcentral's name for it is "partial 16S ribosomal RNA". It matches the Rfam family "Bacterial small subunit ribosomal RNA", at positions 524 to 776 of the family's 1533-position model. The record is from RNAcentral.